RNAcentral lists this ribosomal RNA (833 nucleotides) under archaeon enrichment culture. RNAcentral describes it as "bacterial SSU rRNA". It matches the Rfam family "Archaeal small subunit ribosomal RNA", at positions 20 to 859 of the family's 1478-position model. The record is from RNAcentral.
GCGGCUACUGCUAUCAGGUUUCGACUAAGCCAUGCGAGUCAAGGGGUCGUAAGACACCGGCGUACUGCUCAGUAACACGCGGACAAUCUACCCCCAGGUGGAGGAUAACCUCGGGAAACUGAGGCUAAUACCCCAUAGUUGUCAUGUGCUGGAAUGCUUUGACGAUGAAAGAAUUUCGCCUGAGGAUGAGUCUGCGGCCUAUCAGGUAGUAUGUGGUGUAAAGGACCACAUAGCCUAAGACGGGUACGGGCCCUGGGAGGGGUAGCCCGGAGAUGGACUCUGAGACACUAGUCCAGGCCCUACGGGGCGCAGCAGGCGCGAAAACUGUGCAAUGCGCGCAAGCGCGACACGGGAAGCCUGAGUGCCUUAACUAUGUUAAGGCUUUUCUUGAUCCUAAAAAGCUCAAGGAAUAAGAGCUGGGUAAGACGGGUGCCAGCCGCCGCGGUAACACCCGCGGCUCGAGUGGUAGUCACUUUUAUUGAGCCUAAAGCGUUUGUAGCCGGAUUUGUAAAUCUCUAGGAAAAUACUUCUGCUUAACUGAAGAAAUUUUGGAGAGACUGCAAAUCUAGGGACCGGGUGAGGUUGAAUGUACUUCUGGGGUAGGGGUAAAAUCCUGUAAUCCUGGAAGGACGACCGGUGGCGAAGGCGUUCAACUAGAACGGAUCCGACGGUGAGGAACGAAGGCUAGGGGAGCAAACCGGAUUAGAUACCCGGGUAGUCCUAGCUGUAAACACUGCCCACUUGGUGUUGCAUCUCCGGUAAGGGGGUGCAGUGCCGUAGCGAAGGUGUUAAGUGGGCCGCUUGGGGAGUAUGGUCGCAAGGCUGAAACUUAA